UGGAUCCAGACUUUGAUCCUGGCUCAGGAUGAACGCUGGCGGCGUGCCUAACACAUGCAAGUCGAACGAAGCUUGACGGAUGAUUUCUUCGGAAUGAAACCUGAUAUGACUUAGUGGCGGACGGGUGAGUAACACGUGAGCAACCUGCCUUUCAGAGGGGGAUAACGGCUGGAAACGGUCGCUAAUACCGCAUGAUGUGUUCGGAUGGCAUCAUUUGAACAUCAAAGAUUUAUCGCUGAAAGAUGGGCUCGCGUCUGAUUAGAUAGUUGGUGGGGUAACGGCCUACCAAAGUCGACGAUCAGUAGCCGGACUGAGAGGUUGAACGGCCACAUUGGGACUGAGAUACGGCCCAGACUCCUACGGGAGGCAGCAGUGGGGAAUAUUGCACAAUGGGGGAAACCCUGAUGCAGCAACGCCGCGUGAAGGAUGACGGUUUUCGGAUUGUAAACUUCUUUUCUUAGUGACGAAGACAGUGACGGUAGCUAAGGAAUAAGCAUCGGCUAACUACGUGCCAGCAGCCGCGGUAAUACGUAGGAUGCAAGCGUUAUCCGGAUUUACUGGGUGUAAAGGGAGCGCAGGCGGGACUGCAAGUUGGAUGCGAAAUACCGUGGCUUAACCACGGAACUGCAUCCAAAACUGUAGUUCUUGAGUGAAGUAGAGGCAAGCGGAAUUCCGAGUGUAGCGGUGAAAUGCGUAGAUAUUCGGAGGAACACCAGUGGCGAAGGCGGCUUGCUGGGCUUUGACUGACGCUGAGGCUCGAAAGUGUGGGGAGCAGACAGGAUUAGAUACCCUGGUAGUCCACACUGUAAACGAUGAUAGCUAGGUGUGGGGGGUUUGACCCCUUCAGUGCCGCAGUUAACACAAUAAGUAAUCCACCUGGGGAGUACGACCGCAAGGUUGCAACUCAAAUGAAUUGACGGA
Molecule: ribosomal RNA, 921 nt
Filed under: uncultured organism
Description: bacterial SSU rRNA
Rfam family: Bacterial small subunit ribosomal RNA
Source: RNAcentral